This 3621-nucleotide long non-coding RNA is filed under the name Sus scrofa (pig). Its description in RNAcentral is "lncRNA (ENSSSCG00025002456.1)". Lineage: Eukaryota; Metazoa; Chordata; Mammalia; Artiodactyla; Suidae. The record is from RNAcentral.
ACUUCUCGGCUACAUACGAACCCAAGAUCUUUCUUCUGAAGCUGACAAUCUUAAAUUGACCUCCUCCACCAAAAUGUGGACAAGAAGUUUUGAAAAUUUCUAGUAAGCUAUCAGAAUUUGAAGUAUACUGACCCCUAUCUAGCAGAACAAUCCUUUCUUUUCUUCACUUUAUUUCACUAGUUCUAACUUCACUGUAUAUUCCUAAGAAAAAGGAACAUAAAUACUCUUUGCAGUAAAUAUUCUAUUUUUUUAUUCUCAAUCUCAGCAUACUUUCAAAUCAUCUCGACAAUAAACAGAAGUAGGGAAGUAAGUGACAUUACAUUUCUGGUUAUGUCCUCUCAACUGAAACAACAAAAUAUAUAAUCUCUUGAAUAUUCACUUUGGAAAGUGAACAAUGGUCUGGGUGCUUCAAAACAACAGAUUUAUCAAGGAUAUUUGUAAUUGGCUUUGUAAUGCAUUACAUGCUUUUGACAGAUCAGACUGUUAGGUUUGCUAAAGCAAUGAACAUAGGAAAAAAAAAAGAUUGAUUAGAGGUUUAGAACAUGCUAUAAUACUUCUCCCAGAAAUAAUAAAAUGUAGAGCCUGAGGAUCAGUCAAAUGUAUUUAUACAGGGUUGAGUGUUGCCCAUCUGCAGCCGGAGUAAAGGUGAACAUUUGGGACGAGUAAUCAGCAUCUAUUUCCAGGAAAAGAUUCCAGGAGACAAAGCCCAUAAAAGAAGGUAAUUGUUGAAGACAUAGGGAAUUUCUUGAAACUAUAAAUAAAAAUCAGUGCAGACCUUGUUCAUCUUUUUGCCAUAAUGAAGACCUGAUCCUAGUGCAGAGAGUGGUGUGGAAAGAGAGCUGUCUGGUCAGAGGUAAAAUAUAUAAAAUAAUAGCUUAUUUUGGCUUUAUUUAUUUAUUUAUUUAUUUUAUGGCUGCACCUGUAGCACAUGGAUGUUCCCAAGCUAGGGGUCGAAUAGGAGCUGCAGCUGCCAGCCUACACCACAGCCACAGAAAUGUGGGAUUCUGUAACCUGUGUCACAUCUGUAACCUCUGUCACAUCUGUAACCUAUGUCACAGCUUGCAGCAAUGCUGGAUCCUUAACCCACUGAGUGAGGCGAAGAUCUAACCCAAAUCUUCAGGGACACUAUGUUGGGUUCUUAAUCUGCUGAGUCAUGACAGGAACUCCUUAUUUUGGUUGUAUUUGUGAAUAAUUUCUACUCCUUUGUGGGUCACCACCAUAGGUGGUUAAUUCUCUUUCGGCCAUAGUUGAAAUCAUUGCUCUAUUUCAAAGGAGAUGAAGCAAAAGAGAGUUUAAGGAAGCCCAUAUUGAUUAUCACUAUUGGAUGAAUAACUGCUUCACUCAUUAGAAAGUAUCAGAAAUAUUGUCCUCAAAUCAGAAACAACACACCAGCCUCAGACAGAGAUUAAAAUAAUUGCGAAAUGAAAAAAAUCUCUGUCUGCCAUAGAAUCUAAAUUUGCGAUGUUUGUCACAAACAGAAAGAGCAAUAGACAAGCUUAUAUAAUUUUGAUGCACACUUUACAAAUCUGGAAGUAUUUUAUUGGUUAACAUUUUUGUUUGAGGUUUUUUUGCUGAAUUCAAUAAAAGCAUUGAUUUUUCAAUUGACAGCAGAAAGUUAUGACUGCUAUCAUUGUCAAGUUAAAUAUAAGUUACUGUCUAAUUCAUGGUAGUUAUGUGUAUUAUACAAUUUCAUAAAAAUUGGGAAAAAAUCUUAUUUAAAAGAUAAGAUUUUUAAAAAUAAGAGAAGCCAAAUAUUGUAUAUGCCUUUGUUAGCUAGCUGAACAAUGCCAAACCAUCCAGAUAUAAAGUUAAAUUCAGCCAACCAAUAUAAUCAGCCACUUGCAAAGCCAUAUCCUCUUCCUAUUUUUAUUCACCAAGCCAAAUCUCUCAUCUAUGUUUUUUCCAGCUGGUGUGUGUAUUUUAUAAAAUUGUGGCUAUCAAGGUGGUUGUAUUUGGGAGCUGUUUUCCAUUAUGCAUUACUUUUGGAUCCAUCCUUAAGCUUUCUUGUUCUACAUGCAGGACUGUCUUGAUAUUUCAGCAAGAGAAUACCAGAAAAUGCCAUUAAGACACAAUGUAAAACAAAUUAUUUUGAGCCAAAAUGAUCACGGAAGUUAAUUUACAUGAAAUCAUUGUCUCACCGCUCUUAGCCUGCUCCAUCCUCUGAGUGACUCUUUUGAAAUCAUAGUUCCCGCUGGUUAGGUAGUGAUUUCUCAAGUCAACUGUGGAGCUCUCUUAUAAGGUGAAUUUUGGGAAUUUCAGUUAAAUAACUAUAGCUGUGCCUUAUCAUUGCUCUCUUGCAAAGAUUCUCAAAGAUGAUGUAAUAUGAAAAAACUCAUACAUAAAAGAAAUAGCUAUUUAGAGACAUGAAACUCAAACUAUCUCUUCUGAUGUCUUUCCAGAAAGUGAAGUUUCAAGGGGUGAUUUCUUUUAGAAGGAUGUGGCUGACAAAAGUAUUAAUAUUUCUGAACAUUUUGAGACUUCAAAUCCCCUUUCCUAAAAGUCAUGUUUGCAUGGCUGGUAUGUCUUCUAAUCUCCUUUUUUUUUUUUCUUUUCUUUUUUUCUUCUUUUAAACUGUGACUUAGAGUAUGAGAUAGGACAGGGAUAAAAAUACAUUUCCUCAAAUCAUAGAAUCAUCUACUCUCAAAGUAGAAAAAAAGUACGUUGACUCAUGAAGUUCAACUUUUCUGUCUUCAAUUCCUACCUCACCUCAUUUGGAAGUUCAUCUUAUACUUCUAAGGAAAGCAAGCAAAUCAUUUUAGAACCCCUUGAUAAUGGUCAAGAAACUUUUCUUUUUUUUUUUUUUUUUCUUUUGCUUUUGAGGGCUGCACCUGAGGCAUAUGGAAGUUCCCAGGCUAAGGGUCAAAUCAGAGCUACAGUUGCUGGCCACAGCCACAGCCAUGGCAACAUGGGAUCUGAGCCAUGUCUACCGCCUACACCACAGCACAUGGCAAUGCCAGAUUUUUAACCGAUUGAGAGAGGCCAGAGAUCAAACCCACAAUCUCAUGGUUCCUAGUCGGAUUCCUUUUCGCUAUGCCUUACGGGAACUCCAAAUACGCAUGUUUAAACGUGAAAUACAUGUCCAGGAGUAAGGCUGACUAAGAAGAAAGCAGCAAUACCUAAGAGGGUUUUCUCUUUCUUUCCAGCCCUCCCCAUGCUGACACUUCCUUCGCCUCAGUGGUAGACUGGCUGCCCUGUCUUUCAGUUUCUCAGUCAUGUCAUAGUCCUUCCUCCUGUGACUCUUGACUAAAUGCAAUCACAUAUUUAUUCCUUUAUUCAUAAUGAAGUAUAUAUAUAUAUCCAGAAUUUACUUUGUCUAUGUUAGCAAGCAUCAGAUGUUGUUAAAAGCACUACCGGCCAGUGGGAGGGAAGAUGGGAUGCUCAAAGUCAAGCUCUCAUUUGUUCUUUCACUCUGCAAAUACUCAUCGAACCUUUUCUAUGGGCCAGGCCUGGACCAGACAUAGCAACAUAAGGUCAUUUAGACCACACUCCUGGAACUCCAGGAACUCUUCUUCUAGCAAGGGAGGAAGAUACUAGAAAAUAUAAGAGAUGUACAUGUGAGGAAUAUUAAAAUCAAAAGAUUAAUUUUGAAUUACAAUUCCAAGUGAGCUAUGCAAAAAAAAA